CUUGGUCAUUUAGAGGAAGUAAAAGUCGUAACAAGGUUUCCUUCCGGUUAAGAGAUUUAACUACCGAAGCCUCACACAGCGACUCUAAAUCAACUGUGGAGUCUUACAUAGGUAAAGACAAUACCGCUGAAAUGCUGUGAUCACGAAAGUGUACCAGCAGCCUAAUCCAGGCCCACAGAUCAAGUGGCGGUGGUCUUAGCUACAGAGCUUUAGACUAUAAUAUGACCGGUUCUUAUCCUAACGGUUAAGAGCUUUAAUGUUCCGUAGGUGAACCUGCGGAAGGAUCAUUAAAGAGUGAGGGUCUUCUAGGCUCGAUCUCCAACCCUUUGUAUAAAUACCAUGUUGCUUUGGCGGGCCCGUCUUUAACCGGACCGCCGGAGGUUAAAGCCUCUGGCCAGCGCCCGUCAGUAGCCCACAACAAAUUCUUUUAACCAUGUAUCUUCUGAAAAUAGUUAAAUAAACUAAAACUUUCAACAACGGAUCUCUUGGUUCUGGCAUCGAUGAAGAACGCAGCGAAAUGCGAUAAGUAAUGCGAAUUGCAGAAUUCAGUGAGUCAUCGAAUCUUUGAACGCACAUUGCGCCCUUUAGUAUUCUGAAGGGCAUGCCUGUUCGAGCGUUAUUAUCACUAAUCAAGCCUGGCUUGCUGUUGGACCUCUUGUCGUUAAAGCGACAGGUCCUAAAGAUAAUGACGGUUGUUAAUUAGACCCCAGAUGCAACGAGCUUUCAUUAGCACGCAUGAUAGGUGGCCUUUUUAACCCGGUCUUUUUUAACCAAUUUUACAAGGUUGACCUCGGAUCAGGUAGGAAUACCCGCUGAACUUAAGCAUAUCAAUAAGCGGAGGA
This 842-nucleotide ribosomal RNA is filed under the name uncultured Ascomycota. RNAcentral's name for it is "eukaryotic LSU rRNA". The stretch from base 466 to 619 matches the Rfam family "5.8S ribosomal RNA". Lineage: Eukaryota; Fungi; Ascomycota. The record is from RNAcentral.